GCGGUUGUGGUGUACUGGCAGCAUUCGAGCCUGUGGCGCUCGAGGACCGAGUUCAAUUCUCGGCUACCGCC
This 71-nucleotide transfer RNA is filed under the name Candidatus Woesearchaeota archaeon. RNAcentral's name for it is "tRNA-His". It matches the Rfam family "tRNA". From Rfam's summary of the family: Transfer RNA (tRNA) molecules are approximately 80 nucleotides in length. Their secondary structure includes four short double-helical elements and three loops (D, anti-codon, and T loops). Further hydrogen bonds mediate the characteristic L-shaped molecular structure. tRNAs have two regions of fundamental functional importance: the anti-codon, which is responsible for specific mRNA codon recognition, and the 3' end, to which the tRNAs corresponding amino acid is attached (by aminoacyl-tRNA synthetases). tRNAs cope with the degeneracy of the genetic code in two manners: having more than one tRNA (with a specific anti-codon) for a particular amino acid; and 'wobble' base-pairing, i.e. permitting non-standard base-pairing at the 3rd anti-codon position. The record is from RNAcentral. Lineage: Archaea; Nanobdellati; Candidatus Woesearchaeota.